CACCUCUAGCAUUACUAGUAUUAGAGGCACUGCCUGCCCAGUGACACACGUUUAACGGCCGCGGUACCCUGACCGUGCAAAGGUAGCAUAAUCACUUGUUCUUUAAAUGGGGACUCGCAUGAAAGGCACCACGAGGGUUUAACUGUCUCUUACUUUUAACCAGUGAAAUUGACCUGCCCGCGAAGAGGCGGGCAUAAAAUAAUAAGACGAGAAGACCCUAUGGAGCUUUAAUCUAUUAAUGCAAUCAAAAACUACACAAACCCACGGACCUUUAAACUACCGACACCUGCAUUAAAAAUUUUGGUUGGGGCGACCUCGGAGCACAACAAAACCUCCGAAUAACACAUGCUAAGACCACACAAGUCAAAGCGAACUAACACUUACAAUUGAUCCAAUAAUUUGAUCAACGGAACAAGUUACCCUAGGGAUAACAGCGCAAUUCUAUUCUAGAGUCCAUAUCGACAAUAGAGCUUACGACCUCGAUGUUGGAUCAGGACAUCCUAAUGGUGCAGCAGCUAUCAAGGGUUCGUUUGUUCAACGAUUAAAGUCCU
Molecule: ribosomal RNA, 551 nt
Filed under: Macaca mulatta (Rhesus monkey)
Lineage: Eukaryota; Metazoa; Chordata; Mammalia; Primates; Cercopithecidae
Description: partial 16S ribosomal RNA
Rfam family: Bacterial large subunit ribosomal RNA
Source: RNAcentral